RNAcentral lists this ribosomal RNA (377 nucleotides) under uncultured eukaryote. Its description in RNAcentral is "partial 18S ribosomal RNA". It matches the Rfam family "Eukaryotic small subunit ribosomal RNA", at positions 592 to 976 of the family's 1831-position model. The record is from RNAcentral.
CAAUAGCGUAUAUUUAAGUUGCUGCAGUUAAAAAGCUCGUAGUUGGAUUUCGGGUGGGAAUGGCCGGUCCGCCGUUUCGGUGUGCACUUGCUACGCCCACCUUGCUGCCGGGGACGUGCUCUUGAGUUCACGCUCGGGACACGGAGUCGGCGAGGUUACUUUGAGUAAAUUAGAGUGUUCAAAGCAGUCCUACGCUCUGAAUACAUUAGCAUGGAAUAACACGAUAGGACUCUGGCCUAUCUUGUUGGUCUGUAGGACCGGAGUAAUGAUUAAGAGGGACAGUCGGGGGCAUUCGUAUUUCAUUGUCAGAGGUGAAAUUCUUGGAUUUAUGAAAGACGAACUACUGCGAAAGCAUUUGCCAAGGAUGUUUUCAUUAA